Molecule: ribosomal RNA, 756 nt
Filed under: uncultured Sebacina
Lineage: Eukaryota; Fungi; Basidiomycota; Agaricomycetes; Sebacinales; Sebacinaceae
Description: partial 28S ribosomal RNA
Rfam family: Eukaryotic large subunit ribosomal RNA
Source: RNAcentral
GAAUCCCGUAUAUGGCACGGACUCCCGUUGCUCUGUGAUACGCUCUCAACGAGUCGAGUUGUUUGGGAAUGCAGCUCUAAAUGGGUGGUAAAUGCCAUCUAAAGCUAAAUAUUGGCGAGAGACCGAUAGCGAACAAGUACCGUGAGGGAAAGAUGAAAAGCACUUUGGAAAGAGAGUGAAACAGUACGUGAAAUUGUUGAAAGGGAAACGCUUGAAGUCAGUCGCGCCGUUCGGGAUUCAGCCUUGCUUCUGCUCGGUUUACUUCCCGUUGGGUGGGUCAACAUCAGUUUCGGUCGGAGGAGAAAGACUUGGGGAAGGUAGCAGCAUUCGUGCUGUGUUAUAGCCCCUUGUUGUAUACUUCGAUUGGGACUGAGGACCGCAGCACGCCUUUGGCCGGGGUUCGCCCACGUACGUGCUUAGGAUGUUGGCAUAAUGGCUUUAAGCGACCCGUCUUGAAACACGGACCAAGGAGUCUAACAUGUGCGCGAGUGUUUGGGUGUUAAACUCGGACGCGAAAUGAAAGUGAAAGGUUGGGAACACUUAUGUGUGCACCAACGCCCGGAGCUGACCUUCUGUGACGCAUCUGCGGUAGAGCGUAUAUGUUGGGACCCGAAAGAUGGUGAACUAUGCCUGAAUAGGGUGAAGCCAGAGGAAACUCUGGUGGAGGCUCGUAGCGAUUCUGACGUGCAAAUCGAUCGUCAAAUUUGGGUAUAGGGGCGAAAGACUAAUCGAACCAUCUAGUAGCUGGUUCCUGCC